GUGCCAGUGGCGCAGCUGGAUAGCGCGUUGGACUCCGACUCCAAAGGUCGCAGGUUCGAAUCCUGUCUGGCAUACCA
This 77-nucleotide transfer RNA is filed under the name Oscillospiraceae bacterium. RNAcentral describes it as "tRNA-Arg". It matches the Rfam family "tRNA". Rfam says of the family: Transfer RNA (tRNA) molecules are approximately 80 nucleotides in length. Their secondary structure includes four short double-helical elements and three loops (D, anti-codon, and T loops). Lineage: Bacteria; Bacillati; Bacillota; Clostridia; Eubacteriales; Oscillospiraceae. RNAcentral also lists the same sequence under 1 other name. The record is from RNAcentral.